GAGAGGAGAAACUCGUAGUUUCGGAGCGGGGGAAUAAAAUACGUACAAAAGUGUAAGCUGACAUGUAAAAAUAGAGAGAUUUAAGUGAAAAAUGCAAGUUUCCUUCUUCUCUCCUCUUCUUUUCUUUUUCUUAUUCUCCUUUUUAGCGCUCGUGAUUCGAAAACUCCCAAGCCACAUACUUCUGUGGGACCCAGACGCAGGAUGAGAAGGAGACAAUUUUGGGGAAACAAGUGCGGGACGCGUGUAACGAGGUUCAUUUUCUCUUGUGUGUGUCUCACUCGCUCUGCUGCCAAUCUCACGCCCCAAUUAUUUUCACCAAAUCACCAACCAUGGCGACGUUCGAUGGAGGAGCUUAUCGCGUAGAAAAUUACUCUGCGGUUACGACGGCUUCUCCCCCUAUGGCGGUUUCUGGAACGAGGUAAUGACGGGACGACGCGGAACAAACGGCGACUGUUGCUUGGCCGGGAAGCAAGAGGAAAAGAGGCGAAGAAAGGACGAUAAUAAGAGGAAGAGCAGUAGAAAGGAAGCGAUCAUGUACCUGCGAACAGAGCGAGACGAGAGGAAGGAGGCAAUCUGCUGCCGAUCCAGUGACGGCGAUGGGGCAACGGGCGAGUGGAAUGUGGUGACGAGAGGAGAGGAAGGGCAGCGGUGGCUUUGGGGUGCAAUGAAGCUUGCGUGGACGGCUUCGCUGAGGUUGGAAACCCUCGGCGUGAGAUAUGGGCGGAGCCCCUCUUUUGUGUAUCUUUCUCCGACGACGCAAUGAGAAGAGGUCUCUUCUACCAGAUGAUUCGGUACCCGCCGACCCCCGUACGUUAUCCUGACUCAGUAGGUCAUUGGGUCCCGCGGGGGGCGAUGCGUGUGAUUCUAGCGAACGGUGUGAAACGGUGUGAAAGGUUUUCGCGGUGGUUUCGAGUUUGGCAAUCGAGGAGCUUUGUCGUCAGGCGAUUGAAGGGUACGCGUCUCACCUACCCGCGCUACUAGUCGACCUUGGUAAGUGGAUUCCACGGCUUCCUCGUGGCUACCAGGCACGCGAAUGGGUCGGAAACGGUGAGUUGUUAAUUUGGACUUGGUAAUGGCGUCGUUUCAGUAUCUUACGGCUGCUUGUGCUUUUCUGAAUCCGACCCGCGAGAGGCUACCGUUGAUGGACGAGCGGACGAGUCCCACGUGGUGACUGCAGCACUACUCUCGAGGUGGGCCGUGGAAAAAUUAUCUCACACGCGCCAUGCACGUGCCGGGUGGCAAUCAGUGAACCCGUAUGUGGGGCCAAAGACCGCAGUCUUUCGGGUGUCGUCAAAUCGCCCCACGUAUAAAUCUCUUCCCCUAUGAGAGACAGACACAUGGGCCGAGGGGCCUGAUGGAGCCAUGUCAUGUAAAAUAUUCUCACGCGUUGGGGAGAAUAUUAUAUAUGUGGUCCAUCAUGUUGGAUGAUUGAGUUACAUUUAUGGGAUAAAUUGAUGAAAUAGUUGGUGUCAUCCUUUA
Long non-coding RNA from Musa acuminata AAA Group (dessert banana), 1479 nucleotides. RefSeq lists it as uncharacterized. The transcript has 2 exons. The record is from RefSeq and is a predicted model, not a curated record. Lineage: Eukaryota; Viridiplantae; Streptophyta; Magnoliopsida; Zingiberales; Musaceae.